Molecule: small nuclear RNA, 104 nt
Organism: Myotis lucifugus (little brown bat)
Lineage: Eukaryota; Metazoa; Chordata; Mammalia; Chiroptera; Vespertilionidae
Source: Ensembl
GUGCUCACUUUGGCAGGAUAUAUACUAAAAUUGGAAUGAUACAGAGAAUUGCAUGGCCCCUGCGCAAGGAUGACAUUCAAAUGCAUGAAGUAUUCCAUAUUUUA